UACAGAGGGUGCAAGCGUUAAUCGGAAUUACUGGGCGUAAAGCGCGCGUAGGUGGUUAUGUAAGUUGGAUGUGAAAUCCCCGGGCUCAACCUGGGAACUGCAUCCAAAACUGCAUGGCUAGAGUACGGUAGAGGGUGGUGGAAUUUCCUGUGUAGCGGUGAAAUGCGUAGAUAUAGGAAGGAACACCAGUGGCGAAGGCGACCACCUGGACUGAUACUGACACUGAGGUGCGAAAGCGUGGGGAGCAAACAGG
RNAcentral lists this ribosomal RNA (253 nucleotides) under uncultured bacterium. RNAcentral describes it as "partial 16S ribosomal RNA". It matches the Rfam family "Bacterial small subunit ribosomal RNA", at positions 524 to 776 of the family's 1533-position model. The record is from RNAcentral.